Molecule: ribosomal RNA, 491 nt
Filed under: uncultured bacterium
Lineage: Bacteria
Description: partial 16S ribosomal RNA
Rfam family: Bacterial small subunit ribosomal RNA
Source: RNAcentral
AGUGAACGCUGGCGGUAGGCCUAACACAUGCAAGUCGAACGGCAGCACAGUAAGAGCUUGCUCUUACGGGUGGCGAGUGGCGGACGGGUGAGGAAUACAUCGGAAUCUACUUUUUCGUGGGGGAUAACGUAGGGAAACUUACGCUAAUACCGCAUACGACCUACGGGUGAAAGCAGGGGAUCUUCGGACCUUGCGCGAUUGAAUGAGCCGAUGUCGGAUUAGCUAGUUGGCAGGGUAAAGGCCCACCAAGGCGACGAUCCGUAGCUGGUCUGAGGGGAUGGUCAGCAAAACGGAACUGAGACACGGUCCAGACUCCUACGGGAGGCAGCAGUGGGGAAUAUUGGACAAUGGGCGCAAGCCUGAUCCAGCCAUACCGCGUGGGUGAAGAAGGCCUUCGGGUUGUAAAGCCCUUUUGUUGGGAAAGAAAAGCAGCAGGUUAAUACCCCGCUGUUCUGACGGUACCCAAAGAAUAAGCACCGGCUAACUUCGUG